This is a small nuclear RNA of Seriola lalandi dorsalis, 192 nucleotides long. Its record names the gene U2. It matches the Rfam family "U2 spliceosomal RNA". From Rfam's summary of the family: U2 is a small nuclear RNA (snRNA) component of the spliceosome (involved in pre-mRNA splicing). NCBI's taxonomy places the organism in Eukaryota, Metazoa, Chordata, Actinopteri, Carangiformes, Carangidae. The record is from Ensembl.
AUCGCUUCUCGGCCUUUUGGCUAAGAUCAAGUGUAGUAUCUGUUCUUAUCAGUUUAAUAUCUGAUAUGUCCUCUAUACGAGGACAAACAUAUUAAAGUGAUUUUUAGAGCUGGGAGCUGAAAAAGGGGCUUGCUCCGUUCGCUCCACGCAUCGUCCCGGCAUUGCAGUGCCGCCGGGUACGGUGCAACCUUC